Molecule: ribosomal RNA, 253 nt
Filed under: uncultured bacterium
Lineage: Bacteria
Description: partial 16S ribosomal RNA
Rfam family: Bacterial small subunit ribosomal RNA
Source: RNAcentral
UACGGGGGGGGCAAGCGUUGUUCGGAAUUACUGGGCGUAAAGGGCUCGUAGGCGGCCAACUAAGUCGGACGUGAAAUCCCCAGGCUCAACCUGGGAACUGCGUCCGAUACUGGAUGGCUUGAAUCCGGGAGAGGGAUGCAGAAUUCCAGGUGUAGCGGUGAAAUGCGUAGAUAUCUGGAGGAACACCGGUGGCGAAGGCGGCAUCCUGGACCGAUAUUGACGCUGAGGAGCGAAAGCCAGGGGAGCAAACGGG